AAGAACUUUGAAGAGAGAGUUCAAGAGUACGUGAAACCGUUCAGGGGUAAACCUGCGAAACUCGAAUGAACGAACGGAGAGAUUCAUCGUUUUCUCUCGGGCGUACGUUUACGUGCGUUCAGAUGUUGACGGAACGUUCGUUUCGUGCGUUCGUUCUCCGUCGGCACGGUACGUGAACGUUUAACGUCCCGAGAAGACGUGCACUUCUCUCUUAGUAAUGCAUCGCGACCCGUUCGUCGUGGAUUUAAGACGAUCGCGCGGGAGACCGUACGAGUUUUAUUCGUUUAGAACACGUUCGGACCGCGUAUCGUUCCGAUCCACGCAUUCGGACGGUAUCAUUAAACUAAUCACGCACGCGUUGAAAAUUCCUAAAAAAAAUUUUCUCAUACGCGUCCGGCCCGACGCAAGUCAACGUCGUAUUUUCUCGUUUCCUGCCUUAGUGCGGACGCGAGUGCGACGCGUCUGUUGUCGCAGCCGUGCAGUCUCGGACUAGUGCGUGUUUGUUUGAACGUCUGCGAUGAUACAGUUUCGGGCACUCGCAGGACCCGUCU
Molecule: ribosomal RNA, 551 nt
Filed under: Bombyx mori (domestic silkworm)
Lineage: Eukaryota; Metazoa; Arthropoda; Insecta; Lepidoptera; Bombycidae
Description: partial 28S ribosomal RNA
Source: RNAcentral